UACGGCCAUAUCACGUUGAAACAUCGGUUCCAGUACGAUCACAGAAGUUAAGCAACGUCGAUCCUGGUCAGUACCUGGAUGAGUAACCGCUUGGGAAUGUCAGCUGCUGUA
Molecule: non-coding RNA, 111 nt
Organism: Acanthosepion pharaonis
Lineage: Eukaryota; Metazoa; Mollusca; Cephalopoda; Sepiida; Sepiidae
Source: the annotation of a GenBank genome assembly